RNAcentral lists this ribosomal RNA (449 nucleotides) under uncultured bacterium. Its description in RNAcentral is "partial 16S ribosomal RNA". It matches the Rfam family "Bacterial small subunit ribosomal RNA", at positions 29 to 523 of the family's 1533-position model. The record is from RNAcentral.
AACGAACGCUGGCGGCAUGCCUAACACAUGCAAGUCGAACGAGACCUUCGGGUCUAGUGGCGCACGGAUGCGUAACGCGUGGGAAUCUACCCUUGGGUUCGGAAUAACAGUUAGAAAUGACUGCUAAUACCGGAUGAUGACGUAAGUCCAAAGAUUUAUCGCCGAGGGAUGAGCCCGCGUAAGAUUAGGUAGUUGGUGGGGUAAAGGCCUACCAAGCCGACGAUCUUUAGCUGGUCUGAGAGGAUGAUCAGCCACACUGGGACUGAGACACGGCCCAGACUCCUACGGGAGGCAGCAGUGGGGAAUAUUGGACAAUGGGCGAAAGCCUGAUCCAGCAAUGCCGCGUGAGUGAUGAAGGCCUUAGGGUUGUAAAGCUCUUUUACCAGGGAUGAUAAUGACAGUACCUGGAGAAUAAGCUCCGGCUAACUCCGUGCCAGCAGCCGCCGUAA